GGAGGUUCUCGGGUGACGAAUCCCAGAAUUGGGCUCCCUCCUUUCUGGUUCUGUGUGCAUCACCCGAGAACCACU
Myotis davidii is the source of this 75-nucleotide non-coding RNA. Lineage: Eukaryota; Metazoa; Chordata; Mammalia; Chiroptera; Vespertilionidae. The record is from Rfam.